GUGCCAGCAGCGGCGGUAAUACGUAGGUGGCAAGCGUUGUCCGGAAUUAUUGGGCGUAAAGGGAGCGCAGGUGGGAAUGUAAGUCAAUCUUAAAAGUGCGGGGCUUAACCCCGUGAUGGGAUAGAAACUACAUUUCUUGAGUGCAGGAGAGGAAAGUGGAAUUCCUGGUGUAGCGGUGAAAUGCGUAGAUAUCAGGAGGAACACCAGUGGCGUAAGGCGACUUUCUGGACUGUAACUGACACUGAGGCU
Molecule: ribosomal RNA, 249 nt
Filed under: uncultured Anaerosinus sp.
Lineage: Bacteria; Bacillati; Bacillota; Negativicutes; Selenomonadales; Sporomusaceae
Description: partial 16S ribosomal RNA
Rfam family: Bacterial small subunit ribosomal RNA
Source: RNAcentral